This 809-nucleotide ribosomal RNA is filed under the name uncultured bacterium. Its description in RNAcentral is "bacterial SSU rRNA". It matches the Rfam family "Bacterial small subunit ribosomal RNA", at positions 685 to 1501 of the family's 1533-position model. The record is from RNAcentral.
AGUGCGUAGAUAUCGGGAGGAACACCAGUGGCGAAGGCGGCCUACUGGGCACUAACUGACGCUGAGGCUCGAAAGCAUGGGUAGCAAACAGGAUUAGAUACCCUGGUAGUCCAUGCCGUAAACGAUGAUUACUAGGUGUGGGGAGAUUGACCCUCUCCGUGCCGCAGUUAACACAAUAAGUAAUCCACCUGGGGAGUACGACCGCAAGGUUGAAACUCAAAGGAAUUGACGGGGGCCCGCACAAGCAGUGGAGUAUGUGGUUUAAUUCGAAGCAAUGCGAAGAACCUUACCAGGUCUUGACAUCCAACGACCGCCUAAGAGAUUAGGUUUUCCUUCGGGACGUUGAGACAGGUGGUGCAUGGUUGUCGUCAGCUCGUGUCGUGAGAUGUUGGGUUAAGUCCCGCAACGAGCGCAACCCUUAUCGUCAGUUACUACGCAAGAGGACUCUGGCGAGACUGCCGUUGACAAAACGGAGGAAGGUGGGGAUGACGUCAAAUCAUCAUGCCCUUUAUGACCUGGGCUACACACGUACUACAAUGGCUGCAAACAAAGAGAAGCGAAGCCGCGAGGCAGAGCAAACCUCAUAAACGCAGUCUCAGUUCGGAUUGCAGGCUGCAACCCGCCUGCAUGAAGCCGGAAUUGCUAGUAAUCGCGGAUCAGCAUGCCGCGGUGAAUACGUUCCCGGGCCUUGUACACACCGCCCGUCACACCAUGAGAGCCGGGGGGACCCGAAGUCGGUAGUCUAACCGCAAGGAGGACGCCGCCGAAGGUAAAACUGGUGAUUGGGGUGAAGUCGUAACAAGGUAACC